This 200-nucleotide ribosomal RNA is filed under the name uncultured bacterium. RNAcentral describes it as "partial 16S ribosomal RNA". It matches the Rfam family "Bacterial small subunit ribosomal RNA", at positions 328 to 539 of the family's 1533-position model. The record is from RNAcentral.
ACGCUCGACACCUACGGGAGGCAGCAGUUAGGAAUAUUGGGCAAUGGAGGAAACUCUGACCCAGCAACGCCGCGUGAAGGAAGAAGGUUUUCGGAUUGUAAACUUCUGAUCUAGGGGAAGAAGGAAGUGACGGUACCCUAGGAGAAAGCCACGGCUAACUACGUGCCACAGCCGCGGUAAUCUGAGCGGGCUGGCAAGGC